Molecule: non-coding RNA, 342 nt
Organism: Pelobates cultripes (western spadefoot toad)
Lineage: Eukaryota; Metazoa; Chordata; Amphibia; Anura; Pelobatidae
Source: the annotation of a GenBank genome assembly
AACAAUACUACUUGCUCUGGGAGUUCCUCAGGGAAACCAUUCAAUGUUGGGGGUCUAUGUAUGUAUGCUGGGCCAGCAUUAGGGGGUGACAACCAUGAUGGUUGUCACAGGCCUGGCGGUCAUGGGGGGCACGGACUGCACUGCUAAUGCUCUGCGUGUCCAUGCCCCCUGCCCUUCAAUGUCAAUUUUUGGGAAGGCUUGGCCUGAAGUUGUGGGCGGGGCUAUGUGCCUUUAAAAGGGACUCCUCCCCCCCUUCAAUACAUUACCGUGAUUGACAUAUUGACCCCCAUAGAGUGAGGGAAGACAUGGGGGGCUUAGGAAGUGGCAGGAGCACUGCUCCCC